This 25-nucleotide non-coding RNA is filed under the name Rattus norvegicus (Norway rat). Lineage: Eukaryota; Metazoa; Chordata; Mammalia; Rodentia; Muridae. The record is from RNAcentral.
UGGUGCUUAUUGUUACUCUGGGUGG